This 207-nucleotide ribosomal RNA is filed under the name uncultured bacterium. RNAcentral describes it as "partial 16S ribosomal RNA". It matches the Rfam family "Bacterial small subunit ribosomal RNA", at positions 568 to 774 of the family's 1533-position model. The record is from RNAcentral.
CACGUAGGCGGUUCGCCAAGUCGCAUGUGAAAUCCCCCGGCUCAACCGGGGAAUGGCGCGCGAUACUAGCGAGCUUGAGAUCGGGAGGGGUGAGCGGAACUCCAGGUGGAGCGGUGAAAUGCGUAGAUGUCUGGAGGAACACCGGUGGCGAAAGCGGCUCACUGGCUCGACACUGACGCUGAGGUGCGAAAGCUAGGGUAGCAAACG